GACUGGGUCCCUGGCGGCGAGGAUCGUCGAACCGUGUCAGGGUCGGAAGGCAGCAGCACUAAGGCGUACACCUUGGGUGCCCAGGAUAACCUGGUUGUC
This 99-nucleotide signal recognition particle RNA is filed under the name Chloroflexota bacterium. Its description in RNAcentral is "signal recognition particle sRNA small type". It matches the Rfam family "Bacterial small signal recognition particle RNA". Rfam says of the family: The signal recognition particle (SRP) is a universally conserved ribonucleoprotein involved in the co-translational targeting of proteins to membranes. Archaeal SRP consists of a 7S RNA and homologues of the eukaryotic SRP19 and SRP54 proteins. Lineage: Bacteria; Bacillati; Chloroflexota. RNAcentral also lists the same sequence under 1 other name. The record is from RNAcentral.